AUGGCCACCUGGCCGGCGACUCAGCCGUCGUUGCCAGACGGCGAACAGUGGGACUGGUCAGUGCAUCAGGAUAAUCUGCGCGCACAUCUGACGCGAGCGCAAGUCAAGCAUAAGAAGUUUGCUGAUCUAAACCGGGCUGAACGAGUCUUUCAGGUUGGAGAACAAGUGUUGCUGAAACUGCAACCGUACACACAGAAAUCUGUGGCAAGUCGUCCGUGUCCGAAGCUUGCUUUCAAGUUCUUCCGCCCCUUCUUCGUCCUCGCCAGAAUUGGACCAUCGGCAUACAAGUUGGAGCUCCAUGUGGACAGCAGAAUUCACCCAGUGUUUCACGUAUCGCAGUUGAAGCCGUUCACACCAAACUACAACCCAGUGUUUUCUGAACUUCCAGCAACCACCGACCUGUCGACACAAGAAACUUCUCCAGUGGCUAUACUGGACAGAAGGAUGAUGAAAAAGGGCAACACACCAGUGAUCCAACUGCAAGUAGAGUUGGAUACAACUCCACAGUCCAUCAUGUGGGAAGACUAUGACGUGCUCCGCAGGCGUUACCCGCAAGCUCGCAUCUGGGGAGAGGAAUCCAUGGAGGAAGGAGACUGCUCUCAAGGAGGGGAGAAUGUCAACAUGGCAGUGCCAGCUACCACCGCGUGA
RNAcentral lists this ribosomal RNA (648 nucleotides) under Triticum aestivum (bread wheat). RNAcentral describes it as "partial small subunit ribosomal RNA". Lineage: Eukaryota; Viridiplantae; Streptophyta; Magnoliopsida; Poales; Poaceae. The record is from RNAcentral.